AAUGAGCUGGCGAUGAGAGGCGAUGAGCGGCCUUAGCCACGUUGGAGUUCCUCCUUGUAGAUGAUGGACAGGUCGUGGUUUGAAACCCCGUAUUUGCACUAUGUUGUGCUAUGUGAGAUAAAACACGCGUCAUAUGAUGAGCGUGGUGACGUUUCUGCUGGGGACUCGGACUUGGUCCAUCACGAUUGAUGACUUACUGCAUUUUUUGACUGAGACUGAGCUUGUAACCAUA
Molecule: long non-coding RNA, 232 nt
Filed under: Nicotiana benthamiana
Lineage: Eukaryota; Viridiplantae; Streptophyta; Magnoliopsida; Solanales; Solanaceae
Description: long non-coding RNA (NBEN_LNC018421)
Source: RNAcentral